RNAcentral lists this ribosomal RNA (764 nucleotides) under uncultured bacterium. Its description in RNAcentral is "bacterial SSU rRNA". It matches the Rfam family "Bacterial small subunit ribosomal RNA", at positions 8 to 798 of the family's 1533-position model. The record is from RNAcentral.
AGAGUUUGAUCAUGGCUCAGGAUGAAUGCUGGCGGCGUGCCUAACACAUGCAAGUCGAGCGGCAGCGAGGGGUGCUUGCACCCUGUCGGCGAGCGGCGAACGGCUGAGUAACGCGUAGGAAUUUGCCCCAAAGUGAGGAAUAACUGCCCGAAAGGGUAGCUAAUGCCGCAUAUGGUCUUCGGAUUAAAGGAUUUAUCCGCUUUGGGAGAAGCCUGCGUUGGAUUAGGUUGUUGGUAGGGUAAUGGCCUACCAAGCCGACGAUCCAUAACUGGUCUGAGAGGAUGAUCAGCCAGACUGGAACUGAGACACGGUCCAGACUCCUACGGGAGGCAGCAGUGAGGAAUCUUCCACAAUGGGCGAAAGCCUGAUGGAGCAACGCCGCGUGAAGGAUGAAGGCCUUCGGGUUGUAAACUUCUUUUAUGAGUGAAGAAUAUGACGGUAACUCAUGAAUAAGCACCGGCUAACUACGUGCCAGCAGCCGCGGUCAUACGUAGGGUGCAAGCAUUAUCCGGAGUGACUGGGCGUAAAGAGUUGCGUAGGCGGUUUAAUAAGUGAAUAGUGAAACCUGGUGGCUCAACCAUACAGACUAUUAUUCAAACUGUUAAACUCGAGAAUGGUAGAGGUAACUGGAAUUUCUUGUGUAGGAGUGAAAUCUGUAGAUAUAAGAAGGAACACCAAUGGCGUAGGCAGGUUACUGGGCCAUUUCUGACGCUAAGGCACGAAAGCGUGGGGAGCGAACCGGAUUAGAUACCCCGGUAGUCCAA